Molecule: ribosomal RNA, 253 nt
Filed under: uncultured bacterium
Lineage: Bacteria
Description: partial 16S ribosomal RNA
Rfam family: Bacterial small subunit ribosomal RNA
Source: RNAcentral
UACGAAGGGGGCUAGCGUUGCUCGGAAUCACUGGGCGUAAAGGGUGCGUAGGCGGGUCUUUAAGUCAGGGGUGAAAUCCUGGAGCUCAACUCCAGAACUGCCUUUGAUACUGAAGAUCUUGAGUUCGGGAGAGGCGAGUGGAACUGCGAGUGUAGAGGUGAAAUUCGUAGAUAUUCGCAAGAACACCAGUGGCGAAGGCGGCUCACUGGCCCGUAACUGACGCUGAGGCACGAAAGCGUGGGGAGCAAACAGG